Delphinapterus leucas (beluga whale) is the source of this 7464-nucleotide non-coding RNA. NCBI's taxonomy places the organism in Eukaryota, Metazoa, Chordata, Mammalia, Artiodactyla, Monodontidae. The record is from RefSeq and is a predicted model, not a curated record.
AAAAUGCUACAUGUAAUAUAAUAAUAUGCAUACAUUCAUAUUUCUUGUGAAUAGAAACAAUUUCACUGGCCUAAUUUUCUGUUCAAAAUAGAGAAAUAGUCCUUUAAUUAGGGUUUAACAUGCUUAUGCUUUGGGGGUGAUUAGGUAUAUACAGAAAUUCCACUAUUUUGACACUUAAAUUCUAUUUUCUAUUUUCUUUAAUGUUAAAUCAACAAUAUUUAGACUAAAUAAAACCAAAGAAUAUCAACAAUAAGAACCCAUUCUAGAUAAGAUCUUCAAGUCACAAAUAAAACUACAUUCUAGAAACUGAAUGCUUCUUAAGAAAGGAAAACAUUUCAACCCCUCCAUUUUUCAAGGUGCUUUCAAUACCCAAAGACACCUCUGAACUGGGUUUGAUUAACACUUGCUUGUUGUGUGCCCAGUGUAAUUUAAUUUUUCUGUAAUCAUUUUCUGUUUUAUGAAGAUUUCCAUUGUACCAGGAAAAAGCUGACUUUGAUAUUCAGUGGGGUACAGGAUUCAUUGACAGAGAAUGUCAUUAGAAUAUAGCUCUGUUUUAUUCAUUAUUAGUAAUAUGGAUUUAUUCGUACAUCAUACAUACUGCUAAGGGCCUGCUCUGGGAUGUGAAUUCAUAUAUUAUCAGAACACAUUCAGAUACACUUGAAGAAAAAUUUUAUAAAAAAGAAAAAAUACUUGCAAAACUGAGUUGAAGAGCAGCCUUCAUAAGCAUUUAAGAGUUUUUUUUUUUAAAGCAGAAAUCUUGAUCUAAAACUCUUGACUUUAGGGUCCCUAAGGGAUUCCAAUUGUAUUUAAACAAAACAGAAUUAGCAAAAUUUUGUAAUUGUAGAGAAUGCAGACAAAAAUUUAGCCCUAACAAGACCUUCCUCCCCUUUUCCUCAAAACACUUUAGACCCUAGUUCCAACCAGUAUCUAAAGAUAAGGAAAAUAACUUCCAAGAUGAACUCAAACUUUAAAUGAAAAGUGUUUGUUUUUUUAAUUCUGGAAUUUUAAAUGAGUAGUAAUUUAAAUGGGAAAUCUCAAGGAUUCAAAUUAGUUCAAAUAGCGCAAUCUUUCUAGGCAAAGGAAUAUAUUUUAAUGUUUAAGCAAGUUAACACCUGAAUCACACUCAGGUUUCUCAGGCUCAGGUGAGCCCCAGAACCCAACACUGGAAACGGAGGCAUCUGGGGAAGAAGAGCCCUCCCUCCUCCACACAGUGUGGGACCACCUACUUCUCCUUUGCAUAGGAAAUAGUUAUUUCCUUGAUAGAAAAGACUGAGCAGAGAAAGGAAGUCUGGAAUACACUAUUUGGUUUCUUUUCAUCCCCAUCCUUGCUAGGUUUUCCUCGGGCCUCGCCUUCCCUUGGCACUCUCUCCCACCCUUCCCAACCGAAGCUAACAAUCGAAACAUUCACAUUUACAUUUAGCAGGAUAUCUCUCUCUCCCUAUCUAUCAUCUAUCUAUCAUCUAUCUAGUCAUCUGCCCUUAGGUCUCAAAAUAUCACUAUCACCCUAAAUUUGCCUUUACUUCCUGUGUAAUUAAGAAGAUCAUAAUUCUGAAAGGAAAGCUACCAAAUCUCAAUCGCCGGCGGCGGUGAGGGUGCGCUCAACGUGCCCGAGGCUAGCUAGCAGGAGGGCUCGGCCGGCCGCUUGGCGCCAGCCACUGCGCGUGUUGUGUCCUUGACUCGUACAUUUCCCUUCUUAAGGGAGGAUAAUGAACUCUCCUCGGUUCCUAAUUUGUAAAGAUACCGUCUUUACUCAGCACUGAAAUGGGGGUGGUGGAGAAGAGGCCUGGGUCAUGAACCCGGAGAGGUCAGGGCUCCAACCUCUGGCUGGGUCUCUCCUACAACCGGGAGACGGUGGCCAACUGUGUCUGCGGGUCCCUCGGUUCCCCAGAAGAAAGAGCCUCGGGCUGGAGGGCGUAUGUGCCCGCGCGAGUGUGCAGGCCCGUCCUGCAGUCCCCCUAGGGGUCUCUAGAAAGGGGAGCUUUGCCUUUCCCGGGGUAAGCGAGGCCUAGAGGGCGGGGCCGAGCCUUGGGCGCAGAUUCCUGCGGCCUCCAGAGUCCAAGCAGCCGGGUACCCCCAGCCCAGGGCCGCCCCGACGGCCUCGACUCGGUGCCCGCGAGGCCAGUAGGUGUCGCUGUUCCCCUGCUGGCCGGAGCCGGGAGCCCAGCGCUGGACCCCCGAGCCACUCAGCCUUCCGUGCCCGGUGGGUUCACAGACCCACCAGAGCUCCCGAGAGAGGGCCGCUGCCCCCGGGGACCGUCCCCUCUCUCACCUGGCCAAGACCGCAGCGACACUGGCCGGCCUAAGAGAGCGCCUUCGGGGAGAGAAGGAAGAGGAGUCUGUUGGGGCAAAACGCGGGGCCCCGACGGAAGCGGCUCGAAGCCACCAACUCUCCCUCCUUUCUCUUCUUUUCACGUGCUGUGGGUAGCGACUGGGCACUGGGACCAUCCUGGUAAAAUCCCGAGCCGGACAUUCAACCGGGGCGCCACACUGGCUUUAAAAAUAAACAAGAGGUUGAAAUCCCAGCUUCGUGGGAGCUAGCCACAGAAACAGUGGAUUGGUUUCGAUUUCUUGCCUUAAAAAAAAAAGAAAAAGAAAAGAGAAAGGAAAAAAAAAAAAGGAAGAAGAGAAAGAAAAGAAAGAAACCUGGGCCUGGCCACAUGCAUGAGCUACAUACCAUGUUGUACGCACGUCUGUACGCAGAAAUGCCGGGUAACGGCGACCGCCCCCCUCCCCCGACCCAGGAAGGAGUCAGUAUUUGGAGGCGGUUGUCUUCACCGAAAGCACUGCUUGCCAAGUAUUAUUCCCCUUCGGAAACCUAGCAGUUAGCACGUCUUUGGAAUCUGUAUUGAAAUUCUAGGUAUUGAGAGCUCUGCCCCCUUCUUUGGCGUCCUGCGGCUCCCGGCCUUCAGCCUCGGUGUGCCGCGUGAGAGAUUAUUAAUCAGAAGAGUUCUUUUUGUGUGUGUCUCAAAAGGAGGGGAGUUUGGCUUCUGAAUACCGAGAGGAUAUUUACAAUGGGUACAUCCUCUAGGUGACUGGAGAUUUUAUUAUGAUUCCGAUUAUUCUGUACUGGGAAAUCCCUGCUCCGAUUUGAAGAUAGGGAGGGGGGGACCGUAUUGAAAACGCUAAGUUCGGAAUCUCAAGUUAUUGAAAGAAUUAGUAUGCAAAAUGGAACUGGCUAUGUAUUUAAACCAACGUUUAAAAUCAUAUCCUCAGUUAAGAUGUGGGGAUACUUUGCAGUAAAAAUGUUAAAAGACCCACACUUUAUCUACAUUUUCUUUUGGUAAACGUAAUCAGUUCGUGUAGGAGAAAAAUGUAACAAUCAAAUGCCAAAGAGGAAGAAGGAAAAAUUCUUACUUAAAGUCCAAAAUAUUUCGGAAAACCUCUUGUUUCUGACUCUGGGCCUCGGUCUCGCUAUCUCAGAAGACAAGGCUGGGCAAGUGCCAGAGUCUUCAAGGCAAGCCUUAAAUUUUUAAUGUGAGGUGGCCAACAUCAUCUUUAAAUGUCAUGCCUUUCGCUGUUUCCCAAAAUUGGCUCCUUUCGUUAAGUCCUAUAUCUGUUAUACAAUUCUAAAUAAUUAUUUCUGAUUGAGAUGGCAAAUUAAUCAUUCGGUGACGUGGGAGGAGGGGAGAAACACGUGUCUAAUUGGAGGUUGUGAAGUUCAGUGAGGUGGUAUUUUUAGCUUGGAGAGUCCAAAUUCAGAUAUUUGGGCAACUCUCCCCCUCCCAUCGUUUCCCCACUCCCUCCCCAUUUUGCUCCCUCUUUCACUCAACUCUUUGGGCUCCUCUCCCCGAUUUUGCCCCUGUCCUCAGCUUCUUUCUCUCCCCCUUCCCCCCCUCAAACGCCUCUCCUCUUUCCUCUCCCUUCUUCUCUUCCCCUCCACCCCCCCAUCUCUCCGUGUGUAUCUCUCUCUGUUUCCCCCUCCCCUAUUUAUUGUCAGAUCCUAUCAGCCAAGUUAACAUAAAAGUAGCAAGUGGGAGGCCCAACACCUUCCCUCCCGCGCUCCCAGGGCACUUUGGGGAGGUGUCAGCCGCUGACAGGUUACCGGCCGGAGUGUUGGCCCUUGGUGCUGGGCACGCUGCCUGCGGGAGAGUAGGGGUCUGUGCGGGUUGCGGGCCUUAUUCAAAUACCGCCCGCUGCUGCUGUGAUUCGCAGGGACUCGGCCUCCAUAUGACGCCGAAAGGAGGCUGUUUGUGUACUGCGGCUGCCCUGUGAUUCUGGAUCUUGUCUUCUGGCCGGCGCCUCGAUUCCUGCCCAGCUGGAUUGGGGGGCAACACUGCCUGGCGCAGGGACGAGAGCAAAUGAGACUACAAAGAAGCAUAAAAUGAAUAGACAAUCCAACCAACCAAAGAGCCGGGGCAGCAGCACACCAGCAAGACGGCAUCUUCUCCUCCCCAGCCUAGAAGCCCUGUGAAAUCGAGGAUCUUCCCCCUAAAACACACACACACAAGAUAUGUGCAAUCAAGCUGCCACCGCUUGGUAAAAAGCUCAUGGUGCCUAAACCAAAAGGAUCCGGAGCAGAUCCUUGAAUCAGCUGUCACUUCUUCUAUAGAAUGGGAUUUUUUUUUUCCCUUCCUCCUUAACCUGCGCUGGAAAUUGCUGUUGGCUUUAUACGUCUCUAUAGAGGGAGGCUAAGGAGUCUUGCGUGAGAAGGAAGCAAUUUACAAUGCAAAUAGAGGCCUGUGAAGGGACGGAUAUGCUGCUUACUCUUAACCGCUUGCUGCACCUUAAUAGCUGGCUUUAUUUUCUGAUAUUAAUAGAUGAAUUGUUGGCUAACGCUGCUGGAGAUUACUUGCUGAAAGGAAAAAAAAAAAAGUUCGGAAUAAACUUUGAAAGCAACAGCUCUCGUUUGGAUGUCUAGCCGCACACACAGACAGAAACCAGGUCAUAUUUACAUACAAGGAGGAAUCUUUUGCGCGGCAAAGUAUCCUGGAGGACUACUUACUCUUCGGUACUGCCAGAAAGAUCUGGAUCUGGAGUCUGGGCAGAAGAAGACAGAGGCUGUGAGGGAAGCGAGUUGUUAUCUUUGGUUAUCUAGCUGUAUGAGUGUAUUGGUCUUCAUAAAGCUAGAUAACCGAAAGUAAAAACUCCUUCAAGAUCGCCGGGGAGCGUGUGAGAAUGAACUGCAACCAAGAGACAGUAAAAACCAGAAAGGUCAGGAAUACUUAUUGAAUCUAACUUUGUUUCUGUGUUUGUUUUUCCCUUAUGACGAAAGGUGGGGUUAGAGGAAAUUGACACACGUAUGCCAAAACAUUAAGGUGCCGAUAUUUUGUGAGGUUGUUACAGCUGCGAAGAGUUGUAUAGUGCUAAUGAGUAAAGAGGCACAUGUAGUUUGUCCUACUUUAAGGUAAAAGUUUAUAAAUGGAGGGUUUUUGUUUUUCCUAGAGAGCUGUUGUAGAGAUGUCUGGUACCUAGUUUGAAUAUGAUUCCAUAUACGUAGACUUAGGCUAUUCCUUAACGAGGCCCCUCCCCUGAAAAAUUUGAAGAUUAUGCUUGGAAACUGCAUGUAUUUGGGUUGUAUGUCAAAUUAUAUGAAAUUAGACUUUCAGAAGAGUUUAUACUGGAAGGUUAAUAAUCUGUAUCUACUGAGGACAUAGAGCUAGGAAGGAAAAUGCAAAAAAAAAAAAAAGCAAAGGCUGAUUUUUUAUUCUUCUAUUCAAAAUACAAGGACAGAUGCUUCUGUGUUCCAAGAGGGUUUCCUUGAGGAAGCUACUGAAGCAGAAAGACAUGAUGGAGACGAGAUCGCCUCCCCUCUUGUCAAAGUGUUAAAAAAAUGUUCUGUCUUACUCUGCGCCUAGCAUUGGAAAUGAAAGUGACAUUUACGCCACAACCCACGUGUGCGCCUCCUCUCUUUUUGUUUAAGGAUGAUCAGGUCUAUCCAGGAAACAGCUCUGGCAUCCCAAACUGAAAUAAUUAGGACGUAUAUAGACCUGACAAAAAUGGAAAGGGGGUGGGGAAUCUGAGGGUCUGUCUUGCCUAAUUGAUUCCGCUAAACGGAAUGCAGGAGAUGUGAACGGCAGGACGCUCCGAUUCCCACGCUCGGGGGCAAGUGGUAAAGCGGGGCCGGCAGCCUAUGACAGACAGCCCUGUUGGGGGGUGAGGGUAUGAAAAAAACAUCAAGUACACACACCAUACUCAUCUCCAUCGCUUAAGAAAGUAGAGGCAUUUCCCACCCACAGCCAUCGGCAGCCUCCCAAAUGGCAGUACCAACUGGUCUGUAGCUGCUGUGUACUGUAUGUUUCUGUUAAUUUUAUAACCGCUGUUUAAUCUGGCCAUAAUUAAGUUUGGCUUUUUUCUUCGGUUGAGAUUUUCAAUAUUUAAGGAAAGCUAGUAGAAAAGUUCCCAAAAUGUCCCAUUACUGCCUGCCCCUCACAUCAAAUUCUCAGUCCCUACUUGUGACCACCUUUUGGCUUUUGUUUUGGGAGGGUUAUAUUUUAAAAUAUGUCUCUGUAUAACAGACAUUAUAAUCACUUCAUCAGGCUGUUUACCUCUGAACAUGAUAUAUCUAGGAACUUGGUCUAAUUAUGCUAGUAGGCACACACUGGAAGUAAAAUUAUAAAAUCAUCAACCUAAAAAGUGUUAAUUAUAAUAUGAUAAAAGUUUGUUCUAGUAUAGUACCAGCUAGAUGUGUUCUAAACAGUCUUUUUUUUUAAUCUAAAAAUGACUCUGCUUAGCAGAAACCUUUGGCAUUUUAAAGGUCCCCAUUGUAAUCUUUUCAUAGAAGUCCUUACAUUUUUCCACAUGUCACCGAUCAAACGUUUGUAUAGGCAUUUAUAUAUAAAUACAAACAUUGCAUUAGAAAAUGUCCAAAAUGACCUGUUAUCUUCCAUGUGACCUAGAUUACUGACAAUCCCAAAUCCCAAACAUAUAGUUUUUCUUCAAAACCAUUACGUGUUCCGUUGUAGUUUCAACUCCUUGUAAGACUGCAGACUGGAGAAGCCUGUAAAACCACUGUUAGUUUCAGAUAGAAACUCUGAGAGAUUUUAUUAACGUAAAUUCUCAAUUUGGCUGCUGAACACGUGCCAAAGUUUUACUACUGUAGUGACCGUUGAGAAGACCCUUGUUUAUUUACAUUUGAAGUACUGUUUGUGCAAACAACCUUUCAUUGUUAAGUGCCUGUAUUCCUUUCAUUUACUUCAUGUCCAGGGGUGCUAUUUACCUAGAACCAUUGUCUACUACAAUUAACAUUUACAUUACAAAGUGUGUGGUUUUCUUUCUCAAGGAGGUUCAAUUAAGGCAAUAAGAUGUUUGCUGGGGAAACCUAUUGUUUACUAAAAGCACUCAAUGGAGUCAAAUUACUGAAGCUUUUGCCUACAUCUUGGUCUUUUAUGUAAAUGUGUUAAAUAUAACAUCUAAGGAAAAUAAACAAUAUUAUAAUUAUGUGUUUGCCAUUGUCAUAUCAAACUUGCUUUGUAUCAUACUAAUGUUACAUGACUUAUCGAUCAAUAAAAAUGCAUUUCAAUGUUA